RNAcentral lists this unclassified non-coding RNA (308 nucleotides) under uncultured fungus. Its description in RNAcentral is "partial contains small subunit ribosomal RNA, internal transcribed spacer 1, and 5.8S ribosomal RNA". The stretch from base 1 to 73 matches the Rfam family "Eukaryotic small subunit ribosomal RNA", at positions 1759 to 1831 of the family's 1831-position model. Lineage: Eukaryota; Fungi. The record is from RNAcentral.
GCAAACUUGGUCAUUUAGAGGAAGUAAAAGUCGUAACAAGGUUUCCGUAGGUGAACCUGCGGAAGGAUCAUUAUUGAGAAUCGGGUUGUUUACAGCCCCUCUCCCAACCUUUGUCUAUUAUAUCUUGGUUGCUUUGGUAGGCCAGUCCUUUUGGGACGAUCGGUUGGUCCUGGACCACCUGAUUCGUGCCUACCGAUAGCCUCUUUUUUAAACUCUUGUUUAAUCACCAGUCUGAAUUUUUGAUUAUCAAUCAAACUAAAACUUUCAACAACGGAUCUCUUGGUUCUGGCAUCGAUGAAGAACGCAGC